GUCAUAUCGAAAACGUGCUUAUAUUCGUUUUAUUAGAAUAUAAUAUUCUCUUUUUAAGUAAGAUAAGCCACGAAUAACGGACUAUUAGAUAAUUUAAUUAAAAAUCACUUUCCGUACACUCAUCAAACAACGCGUCGCACGAGUUGGUCGGUCGUAAAUUAAUUCAUACUCAACAUAAAAAAAAUGUUAAAAAUUUAGGAAUUGCACUCAUAUGUUUGCUACAUAGACAAUGAAAAAUUUUUGCGAAAGACCCGAACGAAUAUAAUGUACUUAAAGCAAUUAACUAUAUACUCUCAAUCGUUUGCCUUUGCUGUUCUAUGCUUCAAGCAGGCACUUUGACAAAGCGCAAUGGAGUAAAGAUAAAUAUCAGCUGAAUGUACAUAAAAAAAACCAAUAAGAAUUAGUUCUUUUCCGUAUUAUCUUUUACUAACGACAAUAUCCGGCAUGAUAGAGAAUAAAUGUAUCGAUAGUCUGAAGUUUGCCGAUGUCAAAAUAACGAGAUGAAGGGUGAAUUCCGUUAUAGAAGUGCAUGCUCACGCUAGUGAUAUUGGUUAGUAGAGUUAAUGCAUUUUUUUCUAUAGACGCUGCCAUAAAAAUAUGUAGAAGUAUGAACCUGGGAAAAUCAACAUAUUUGAAUUUUAAAUAAAUA
Schizosaccharomyces pombe (fission yeast) is the source of this 649-nucleotide non-coding RNA. The record is from the annotation of a GenBank genome assembly. Lineage: Eukaryota; Fungi; Ascomycota; Schizosaccharomycetes; Schizosaccharomycetales; Schizosaccharomycetaceae.